Molecule: ribosomal RNA, 253 nt
Filed under: uncultured bacterium
Lineage: Bacteria
Description: partial 16S ribosomal RNA
Rfam family: Bacterial small subunit ribosomal RNA
Source: RNAcentral
UACGGGGGGUGCAAGCGUUAAUCGGAAUUACUGGGCGUAAAGCGCGCGUAGGUGGUUACGUCAGUCGGAUGUGAAAGCCCCGGGCUUAACCUGGGAAUUGCAUUCGAUACUGCGUGACUAGAGUCUGGUAGAGGGUAGCGGAAUUCCAGGUGUAGCGGUGAAAUGCGUAGAUAUCUGGAGGAACAUCAGUGGCGAAGGCGGCUACCUGGACCAAGACUGACGCUGAGGUGCGAAAGCGUGGGGAGCAAACAGG